This 313-nucleotide ribosomal RNA is filed under the name uncultured bacterium. RNAcentral's name for it is "bacterial SSU rRNA". It matches the Rfam family "Bacterial small subunit ribosomal RNA", at positions 28 to 334 of the family's 1533-position model. The record is from RNAcentral.
GAUAAACGCUGGCGGCGCACAUAAGACAUGCAAGUCGAACGGACUUAACCAUUAGUUUACUAUUGGAGCGGUUAGUGGCGGACUGGUGAGUAACACGUGAGUAACCUGCCUCUCAGAGUGGAAUAACGUUUGGAAACGAACGCUAAUACCGCAUAACGUGAGAAGAGGGCAUCCUCUUUUUACCAAAGAUUUAUCGCUGAGAGAUGGGCUCGCGGCCGAUUAGGUAGUUGGUGAGAUAACAGCCCACCAAGCCGACGAUCGGUAGCCGGACUGAGAGGUUGAUCGGCCACAUUGGGACUGAGACACGGCCCAG